UACAGAGGUCCCAAGCGUUGUUCGGAUUUACUGGGCGUAAAGGGUGCGUAGGUGGCGAGGUAAGUUCGAUGUGAAAUCUCCGAGCUCAACUCGGAAAUGGCAUUGAAUACUAUCCCGCUUGAGGGUCGGAGGGGAGACUGGAAUUCUCGGUGUAGCAGUGAAAUGCGCAGAUAUCGGGAGGAACACCAAUGGCGAAGGCAGCUCGCUGGGACGUUACUGACGCUGAGACGCGAAAGCGUGGGGAGCAAACAGG
This 253-nucleotide ribosomal RNA is filed under the name uncultured bacterium. Its description in RNAcentral is "partial 16S ribosomal RNA". It matches the Rfam family "Bacterial small subunit ribosomal RNA", at positions 524 to 776 of the family's 1533-position model. The record is from RNAcentral.